CAGUCGCCGCGGGAAUACGUAGGGUGCGAGCGUUAAUCGGAAUUACUGGGCGUAAAGCGUGCGCAGGCGGUUAUAUAAGACAGUUGUGAAAUCCCCGGGCUCAACCUGGGAACUGCAUCUGUGACUGUAUAGCUAGAGUACGGUAGAGGGGGAUGGAAUUCCGCGUGUAGCAGUGAAAUGCGUAGAUAUGCGGAGGAACACCGAUGGCGAAGGCAAUCCCCUGGACCUGUACUGACGCUCAUGCACGAAAGCGUGGGGAGCAAACAGGAUUAGAUACCCGAGUAGUCCCUGUCUCUUCUAC
RNAcentral lists this ribosomal RNA (301 nucleotides) under uncultured bacterium. RNAcentral describes it as "partial 16S ribosomal RNA". It matches the Rfam family "Bacterial small subunit ribosomal RNA", at positions 509 to 807 of the family's 1533-position model. The record is from RNAcentral.